CUAAGCCAGUGGGUUAACAGUGGCAGUGCAAAUAAAUAGACACAUAAGACUUGCUGGCAGAUUUGUAUUUUGGAGUGAAACAAAAUAAUCAAGAAAACCUGUUGUUUUGUGUUUGGAUAACUGGGUGUGUGGUAAGCAGUUUACUGAGGAAGAAAUGGAAAAGAGUUUUAUCAACAAAAAUCAGUAAUUCUAUUUUUGGCCUUUAAAGUUUAAUGUAAGUUCAUACGUGAUGUUCACCUGUCAUACAGGAGAUUUUCUAAAUGAGUCUGGACUUGAGGAGACUGGUCAGCACUGAAGAGAGAAAUCUGGAGUCUUGAGUAGAUACGAUUCUACUUUAAGAUAUAAGACUGGAUGAGAGAGAAUGUAAUAGAGAAAAGAUAUUCAGAACUGAGCUCUGGGCACAUCAAAAUAGAAUUUCAGAGGAAACAGCACCAACGAGUAAAAGGAAAGUAAAGGGCUGACGAAGAAGUCGUGGAAACAAACUAUUUCAACAAGCAGCAGCAGCAGUUUGGAGAGGUUUAUUUAAAACAAGGCAGAAUUCCCUACUGCCCUAAAAGCCUCAACUUGGAAAACAGCACGGUGAAUGGAAGAAAACCAGGCCUGGGGACUGAGGGGCUGCUGUGGCUCUCAUCUUGAUAAGAAGAAAGGAUGAGCACCAACUUACCCCAGCUUCUGUCCAUCUGUAACACAUUUGCUGCUACAGAUUGUGUCUGUAUAGAGAAGAGAGAAGACGCAAAGCUCUUCUUCCAGUCCUUGAAGUCUGCAGCCUGGGUGUCUGCAGAGGACAAUGCCUUGUUCUUUAAGAUACCCAGCAUGGCACUGCAGUACAUCUAUAAAAAAUGCAAGUGAGAUAAAAUAUAAAAAUAAGAAUUAAAAAUUAAAUACAAGAUAAUAGAAGGAAAAUAACACAAUUAUGCAAUGUGAAAAAAAUGUAAGAAUGUAAAAAAACGAAGUAUUUUAAUUAGAAAAAUAAAGUUAAAUAAUGUAUAAAUGUAGAAAAAUUAAGAAAAGAAUCAACAAACUAGAGAAAAAUGGAAGUACAUAAAUCUUAGAUAAAAUUAAAAAUCAUAGGCUAAUCUAUGAAAAGCAAAAGGAAAGAAAGUGCUGACAGAAAAUAACCCAAAAGAGAAAGUAAAGAAAAAAUAAGGGAGAAAGAAAGUCAAGAACAGAAAAUGUAAAGAAACAGAAAUAAUGUUAAGAAAAAGAAAAAAAAAAUUAGAGGGGGAUGUGGAUGAAUGCAGGCAAAAAAAAAAAAGGGAAAGAACAGAGAAAGUGAAAAUUAAGGAGAGAGGGAGGGAAAGGAAAUCAUUAAAAUCAAAAGAAAAAAUAAUUAUUAAGGAAAACAAAUUAGAAAAUAAAAAUGAUAAAAAUGUAGUUAAGGAAGAAAGAAAAGUAAGAAAGGAAUAUAAACAAUGAGAAAACAGAAAUGCAAGUGAUCAAAAGUCAUAAGACACAAAAGUAAAAGAAAAAAUAAAACUAAGAAAGUAAUAGAAAUACCAAAAGCAAAAUAGAACGUGAAAAUAAUACAGACAGUAAAUAAAAUCAUGAUUAAGUAAAAACUAGAAAAUAAGGUAAAAAAAAAUAAAGCAAAGAAAUCAAGUGAAGAAAGAAAAGGAAGUAUGGAUGCACAGACUCUCUCUGGACGGGAGAAGGAGGCACCCCUUCUUUACUGUGACAACACGAGUGCUCCACCUUGAAAUGAGGCUGUUGGGCAGAAAUGGAGAAAACAUUGGGUUUUGAUGAGUGAAUGCAGUUCCCCAAAAGCCUUUCUUCCAGUUACACUUUCAGACUGGCGAGGGUGAGCUAUUGAUAAUAUUAUUUAAUCCCCAAAUUACAGGUGCAUCAUAUCUUGAACAAGAUCAGGGACAUAGGAGUUUACUGUGGAAGACGAUGAUGAGAGAGAAGAGGAUAAAGAACUAAAAGUUAAGAAUCAGACCGGGCAUGGUGGCUCACACCUGUAAUCCUAGCACUUUGGGAAGCCAAUGUGGGUAGGUCACUUGAGGUUGGGAGUUCGAGACCAGCCUGGCCAACAUGGUGAAAUCCCGUCUCUACCAAAAAAUACAAAAAUUAGCCAGGCGCACCUGUAGUCCCAGCUACUCAGGAGGCUGAGGCAAGAGAAUCGCUUGAAAUCAGGAGGCGGAGGUUCCAGUGAGCUGAGAUCACACCACUGCACUCCAGCCUGGGGAACAAAAUGAGGCCCUGUCUCAAAAAAAAAAAAAAAAAAGAAAAGAAAAAAAAGUAGUUAAGAAUCAUAAAUUUAAAGCUAAUGAACAUAACAAUGGCAAAUAAAAGAUAAUAAAGCCAUAUGCUAAAAAUACAAAAUAACUAAAAAUGAAUGAAUUUGUGAAGAAGAAAAAUAGGUAGACAGAAAGACAGGGUGGAAAGAAGAAAGGAAAGGAGGAAAAAUAUUAUACCAAGGAAAAGAGAGCAAAUUUUAAAGAAAACAGAACAAUAAAAAAGAAAAACUAGUUAGUUGUACUUGAAAUCUGGCUAUUUCAUUGAAACACAUUUGCUAUUGUGUAUGAAGAAUCAAUAACAUGGACAGGGAAGAAAGAAGUUAUAAUUAUCUUUCAAAAGCUCUUAUUUCUCCAGUCUUCGUUAAGGUAUGAAGCAUCUGCAAAAAGUCCUGCAAAAGUGUCAAGAUAGAAUUACCUUUCUGAAUCAUUAUUUCUUUUGCAGCAAUUAUCCCCCUGAAUAAUAAAGUUAUGGAAAUGAAUGAUAGAACCAACCUGAGGAAAUUAAUCAGCAAGCCUGGGAAUACAAUUUGGGUCUCCUUAACAAUAUUCCAACUUAAUUGAAAACAAGGACAGUUAGAACAUCAUCUAACAACACAGGGACACUAUCAGAAGAAGACCACGAAAGGUUAUGCCCUUUGGAGUCAAUAUUGAGGUUCUCUAUCACACUGGAAAGAAACAGACCUCAGACAACGGAUUACUAACCACACUUCACUGAAAGCACCAUCAGAGAAACAUGUGACAAAGACAUGGAGAUCAAUGUGCUACUCUGGAAUAUCUCUGCAUUUCCCCAAGACUGUCCUGAAAGACCAGCAAUGGAGAAUAGUUGUACCAGGAGUGGAGUGGUCAGAUGUGUCUGUCUUUGUCAUACAUUGCUAGCAAUUUUGGUUGUUUCUCAAUAAACAUUUUUAAAAUUUAUUUUCCCUAAAUUGUUCACUGUUCACAUUCAUCCAUUUAUCCACUUACUCAAUAAUUAUUUUUUGAGUAUCUAUUCUGCGGUGAAAUUAAAGACCAAAGUAGGGGAUAGAGAAGUAAAGUUGAGAUCACUGGGCUUUAUUACUUUUUAAAGCCAGGGGAUAGCAAUGACGUCAGCUUGAGAAUGAGUUACAAUAGCAACCAGUAAAGGAUAGCACUGGCUUUAAACAAAAAUAAACCACCAGAAUAUAUUUUCUGAUUUAUCUGUGUUUCUGAUGAGGACAUCCGUUUAUCUAUUUUAAAUGAAGUGUUGCUAGAUACCCACCAGUUUUCAAGAAUCUAACCACUGGGUAAAUAAAAGGAAAAAAUGGGAAAUUCUGACACAAGAGUGAAAUAUGAAUGAGUG
This 3555-nucleotide long non-coding RNA is filed under the name Homo sapiens (human). Its description in RNAcentral is "HSALNT0144710". Lineage: Eukaryota; Metazoa; Chordata; Mammalia; Primates; Hominidae. The record is from RNAcentral.